AGCGAUUGCCUUAGUAGCGGCGAGCGAAACGGCAGAAGGGCAAACCGAAGAGUUUACUCUUCGGGGUUGUAGGACUGCAAUGUGGACUCAAAGAUUAUAGAAGAAUGAUUUGGGAAGAUCAGCCAAAGAGAGUAAUAGCCUCGUAUUUAAAAUAGUCUUUGUACUUAGCAGUAUCCUGAGUACGGCGGGACACGUGAAAUCCCGUCGGAAUCUGGGAGGACCAUCUCCCAACCCUAAAUACUCCCUAGUGACCGAUAGUGAACCAGUACCGUGAGGGAAAGGUGAAAAGCACCCCGGGAGGGGAGUGAAAUAGAACCUGAAACCGUGUGCCUACAACAAGUUCGAGCCCGUUAAUGGGUGAGAGCGUGCCUUUUGUAGAAUGAACCGGCGAGUUACGUUAUGAUGCGAGGUUAAGUUGAAGAGACGGAGCCGUAGGGAAACCGAGUCUGAAUAGGGCGCCUUAGUAUCAUGACGUAGACCCGAAACCAUGUGACCUACCCAUGAGCAGGUUGAAGGUGCGGUAAGACGCACUGGAGGACCGAACCAGGGCACGUUGAAAAGUGCUUGGAUGACUUGUGGGUAGCGGAGAAAUUCCAAACGAACUUGGAGAUAGCUGGUUCUCUCCGAAAUAGCUUUAGGGCUAGCGUCGACAUUAGAGAUUCUUGGAGGUAGAGCACUGUUUGGGUGAGGGGUCCAUCCCGGAUUACCAAUCUCAGAUAAACUCCGAAUGCCAAUGAAUUAUGGUCGGCAGUCAGACUGCGAGUGCUAAGAUCCGUAGUCGAAAGGGAAACAGCCCAGACCACCAGCUAAGGUCCCAAAAUAAUUGUUAAGUGGAAAAGGAUGUGGGGUUGCACAGACAACUAGGAUGUUAGCUUAGAAGCAGCUAUUCAUUCAAAGAGUGCGUAAUAGCUCACUAGUCGAGUGACCCUGCGCCGAAAAUGUACCGGGGCUAAAACAAUUUACCGAAGCUGUGGAUACCUUUAUAGGUAUGGUAGGAGAGCGUUCUAUGUGUGAUGAAGGUAUACCGUGAGGAGUGCUGGAACGCAUAGAAGUGAGAAUGCCGGUAUGAGUAGCGAAAGACAGGUGAGAAUCCUGUCCACCGUAAGACUAAGGUUUCCAGGGGAAGGCUCGUCCGCCCUGGGUUAGUCGGGACCUAAGGAGAGACCGAAAGGUGUAUCCGAUGGACAACAGGUUGAUAUUCCUGUACUAGAGUAUGUAGUGAUGGAGGGACGCAGUAGGCUAACUAAAGCAGACGAUUGGAAGAGUCUGUCUAAGCAGUGAGGUGUGAAUUGAGUCAAAUGCUUAAUUCUAUAACAUUGAGCUGUGAUGGGGAGCGAAGUUUAGUAGCGAAGUUAGUGACGUCACACUGCCAAGAAAAGCUUCUAGCGUUUAAACAUACUCUACCCGUACCGCAAACCGACACAGGUAGUCGAGGCGAGUAGCCUCAGGUGAGCGAGAGAACUCUCGUUAAGGAACUCGGCAAAAUGACCCCGUAACUUCGGGAGAAGGGGUGCUGACUUAAAGUCAGCCGCAGUGAAUAGGCCCAAGCAACUGUUUAUCAAAAACACAGCUCUCUGCUAAAUCGUAAGAUGAUGUAUAGGGGGUGACGCCUGCCCGGUGCUGGAAGGUUAAGAGGAGUGCUUAGCGUAAGCGAAGGUAUGAAUUGAAGCCCCAGUAAACGGCGGCCGUAACUAUAACGGUCCUAAGGUAGCGAAAUUCCUUGUCGGGUAAGUUCCGACCCGCACGAAAGGCGUAAUGAUUUGGGCACUGUCUCAACGAGAGACUCGGUGAAAUUUUAGUACCUGUGAAGAUGCAGGUUACCCGCGACAGGACGGAAAGACCCCAUGGAGCUUUACUGCAGUUUGAUAUUGAGUGUCUGUACCACAUGUACAGGAUAGGUAGGAGUCUAAGAGAUCGGGACGCCAGUUUCGAAGGAGACGCUGUUGGGAUACUACCCUUGUGUUAUGGCCACUCUAACCCAGAUAGGUGAUCCCUAUCGGAGACAGUGUCUGACGGGCAGUUUGACUGGGGCGGUCGCCUCCUAAAAGGUAACGGAGGCGCCCAAAGGUUCCCUCAGAAUGGUUGGAAAUCAUUCGCAGAGUGUAAAGGUAUAAGGGAGCUUGACUGCGAGAGCUACAACUCGAGCAGGGACGAAAGUCGGGCUUAGUGAUCCGGUGGUUCCGUAUGGAAGGGCCAUCGCUCAACGGAUAAAAGCUACCCUGGGGAUAACAGGCUUAUCUCCCCCAAGAGUUCACAUCGACGGGGAGGUUUGGCACCUCGAUGUCGGCUCGUCGCAUCCUGGGGCUGUAGUCGGUCCCAAGGGUUGGGCUGUUCGCCCAUUAAAGCGGCACGCGAGCUGGGUUCAGAACGUCGUGAGACAGUUCGGUCCCUAUCCGUCGCGGGCGUAGGAAAUUUGAGAGGAUCUGCUCCUAGUACGAGAGGACCAGAGUGGACUUACCGCUGGUGUACCAGUUGUCUUGCCAAAGGCAUCGCUGGGUAGCUAUGUAGGGAAGGGAUAAACGCUGAAAGCAUCUAAGUGUGAAACCCACCUCAAGAUGAGAUUUCCCAUGAUUAUAUAUCAGUAAGAGCCCUGAGAGAUGAUCAGGUAGAUAGGUUAGAAGUGGAAGUGUGGCGACACAUGUAGCGGACUAAUACUAAUAGCUCGAGGACUUAUCCAA
This 2678-nucleotide ribosomal RNA is filed under the name Streptococcus pneumoniae. Its description in RNAcentral is "bacterial LSU rRNA". It matches the Rfam family "Bacterial large subunit ribosomal RNA". Lineage: Bacteria; Bacillati; Bacillota; Bacilli; Lactobacillales; Streptococcaceae. The record is from RNAcentral.